RNAcentral lists this ribosomal RNA (302 nucleotides) under uncultured bacterium. RNAcentral's name for it is "partial 16S ribosomal RNA". It matches the Rfam family "Bacterial small subunit ribosomal RNA", at positions 508 to 807 of the family's 1533-position model. The record is from RNAcentral.
GCAGCAGCCGCGGUAAUACGAAGGGGGCUAGCGUUGUUCGGAUUUACUGGGCGUAAAGGGCGCGUAGGCGGACUGAUAAGUCAGGGGUGAAAUCCCAAGGCUCAACCUUGGAACUGCCUUUGAUACUGUUUGUCUUGAGUUCGAGAGAGGUAAGUGGAACUGCGAGUGUAGAGGUGAAAUUCGUAGAUAUUCGCAAGAACACCAGUGGCGAAGGCGGCUUACUGGCUCGAAACUGACGCUGAGGCGCGAAAGCGUGGGGAGCAAACAGGAUUAGAUACCCCAGUAGUCCCUGUCUCUUAUAC